GAUAAACGCUGGCGGCGUGCCUGAGACAUGCAAGUCGAACGAAGGAUCGGGCUUGCUCGCUCCUUAGUGGCGGACGGCUGAGUAACGCGUAGGUGACCAACCCCGAGUGGGGGAAUAACGGCCCGAAAGGGGGGCAAAAACGCAAGGGGGUGCACCGUUCAUCCGGCGAGGUAAAGCCGCAGGGCGCUUCGGGGGGGGCCUGCGUCCGAUUAGCUCGUUGGUGGGGUAAUGGCUUACCAAGGCGACGACCGGUAGGUGGCCUGAGAGGACGAUCACCCAGACUGGGACUGAGACACGGCCCAGACUCCUACGGGAGGCAGCAGUCGGGAAUUUUGCUCAAUGGGGGAAACCCUGAAGCAGCAACGCCGCGUGAGGGAUGAAGGCCUUCGGGUUGUAAACCUCUUUUGUCAGGGACGAUGAUGACGGUACCUGGCGAAUAAGCCACGGCUAACUACGUG
Molecule: ribosomal RNA, 458 nt
Filed under: uncultured bacterium
Lineage: Bacteria
Description: partial 16S ribosomal RNA
Rfam family: Bacterial small subunit ribosomal RNA
Source: RNAcentral